This 547-nucleotide ribosomal RNA is filed under the name Stokesia sp. WS-2014. Its description in RNAcentral is "eukaryotic LSU rRNA". The stretch from base 164 to 309 matches the Rfam family "5.8S ribosomal RNA". The record is from RNAcentral. Lineage: Eukaryota; Ciliophora; Oligohymenophorea; Peniculida; Stokesiidae.
AGGUGAAACUGCGGAAGGAUCAUUAACACAUGGACAUACGUCCAAAAUCCGGUUUAAUCUUGUAUGUAAGCAUCAUCAGUAGCAGUUUAACUGCUCUGGUGAUCAACAAAUUAAUUCUAAUUUGUUUGUUUACAUUCACUGUGCCUUAAUAAAAAAUCAAGAAAAUUUUCAACGAUGGAUAUCUUGGUUCCCAUACCGAUGAAGAACGCAGCGAAAUGCGAUACGCAAUGCGAAUUGCAGAAUCCCGCGAGUCAUCAGAUCUUUGAACGCAAGUGGCGCCAGUUUACUGGCAUGUCUGUUUCAGUGUACUAGGAGAGUAAUCAAUCAUCAAUGAUUAGAAUGCGAUUGAGAGGGUCUAGUGCCUUUUCUCUCGUUGAAUAAGAAAGUGUGAGUAUGAAUGGCUUAACACUAGUCAAAACGAAGUAGUCACGCUAGUUCGUGAUCUCGUUUAACUAGUAGGGUUAUUCAAACAACGAUCACGCUUACUAACAAUCAAUCUCCACAUUAAUUGGUAUCUGAAAUAGGCAAGACUACCCGCUGAACUUAA